Molecule: long non-coding RNA, 213 nt
Organism: Vombatus ursinus (common wombat)
Lineage: Eukaryota; Metazoa; Chordata; Mammalia; Diprotodontia; Vombatidae
Exons: 3
Source: RefSeq, a predicted model, not a curated record
GAGCCUUGAAUUCCUUUCACCUUUCGACCAACAAGAUGUAAAAUAUCCAUCCAGACAGGUAACCUCCUGGAGGAGAGGGCAGAGUGAGGCAUGGGCCUUUCUCUACCCUGAGGACCCUACCUGGAACGGCUCAGACUGGAACCUUAUGAACAAAAAAGGGAAGCCCCGUUUGUAGAGAGUAGAUGGACAGUGCUUAUGUAAAACACUCCCCAG